UGGUGGAGUGAUUUGUCUGGUUAAUUCCGAUAACGAACGAGACCUUAACCUGCUAAAUAGACCAGUCGACUUUGGUUGACUGCUGUCUUCUUAGAGGGACUAUCAGCGUUUAGCUGAUGGAAGUUUGAGGCAAUAACA
Molecule: ribosomal RNA, 138 nt
Filed under: uncultured eukaryote
Lineage: Eukaryota
Description: partial 18S ribosomal RNA
Rfam family: Eukaryotic small subunit ribosomal RNA
Source: RNAcentral